AACGAACGCUGGCGGCAUGCCUAACACAUGCAAGUCGAACGAGGCCUUCGGGUCUAGUGGCGCACGGGUGCGUAACGCGUGGGAACCUGCCCUUAGGUUCGGAAUAACUCCCCGAAAGGGGUGCUAAUACCGGAUAAUGUCUUCGGACCAAAGAUUUAUCGCCUUUGGAUGGGCCCGCGUUGGAUUAGCUAGUUGGUAGGGUAAAAGCCUACCAAGGCGACGAUCCAUAGCUGGUCUGAGAGGAUGAUCAGCCACACUGGGACUGAGACACGGCCCAGACUCCUACGGGAGGCAGCAGUGGGGAAUAUUGGACAAUGGGCGAAAGCCUGAUCCAGCAAUGCCGCGUGAGUGAUGAAGGCCUUAGGGUUGUAAAGCUCUUUUACCCGGGAUGAUAAUGACAGUACCGGGAGAAUAAGCUCCGGCUAACUCCAU
This 432-nucleotide ribosomal RNA is filed under the name uncultured bacterium. RNAcentral describes it as "partial 16S ribosomal RNA". It matches the Rfam family "Bacterial small subunit ribosomal RNA", at positions 29 to 506 of the family's 1533-position model. The record is from RNAcentral.